RNAcentral lists this ribosomal RNA (252 nucleotides) under uncultured bacterium. RNAcentral's name for it is "partial 16S ribosomal RNA". It matches the Rfam family "Bacterial small subunit ribosomal RNA", at positions 524 to 776 of the family's 1533-position model. The record is from RNAcentral.
UACGUAGGGGGCUAGCGUUAUCCGGAAUUACUGGGCGUAAAGGGUGCGUAGGUGGUUUCUUAAGUCAGAGGUGAAAGGCUACGGCUCAACCGUAGUAAGCCUUUGAAACUGGGAAACUUGAGUGCAGGAGAGGAGAGUGGAAUUCCUAGUGUAGCGGUGAAAUGCGUAGAUAUUAGGAGGAACACCAGUUGCGAAGGCGGCUCUCUUGACUGUAACUGACACUGAGGCACGAAAGCGUGGGGAGCAAACAGG